This 499-nucleotide ribosomal RNA is filed under the name Palaemonella asymmetrica. RNAcentral describes it as "partial large subunit ribosomal RNA". It matches the Rfam family "Archaeal large subunit ribosomal RNA", at positions 1999 to 2698 of the family's 2987-position model. Lineage: Eukaryota; Metazoa; Arthropoda; Malacostraca; Decapoda; Palaemonidae. The record is from RNAcentral.
GUUGAAGGGCCGCGGUAAUUUGACCGUGCGAAGGUAGCAUAAUCAUUAGCCACUUAAUUGGGGGAUGGAAUGAAGGGUUGGAUGAGAGAUAAGCUGUCUUUUUAUUGAAGCUUGAAUUCUACUUUUAAGUGAAAAGGCUUUAAUUAUAUAAAGUGAAGAUAAGACCCUAUAAAACUUUAUAUAAGUUAUUGUUAUAUCUCUUUAAUAGUGUCAACUAGGUUAUAAUUGUCUUAUAUUUUGUUGGGGCGACAGGAAUAGAAAUAAUAUCUGUUUUUUUAAUGAAUUAGGGAUAACUAAAACUUGAUCCUUUAUUAGAGAUUAGAAGACUAAGUUACUUUAGGGAUAACAGCGUGAUUUUCUUUGAGAGUUCUUAUCGACAAGAGUAGUUGCGACCUCGAUGUUGAAUUAAAAUUUAUCUUUUAAGUGCAGUAGCUUAAUUAGUAAGUCUGUUCGACUUUUAAAUUUUUACAUGAUUUGAGUUCAAACCGGUGUGAGCCAG